CAUUAAGAAACUAUAAAUAGUAUUGGUCUCUUAAACCAAAUAAUGGUAAAUCAAAAUGUACCCUUAAUGA
RNAcentral lists this transfer RNA (70 nucleotides) under Blasticotoma filiceti. RNAcentral describes it as "tRNA-Lys". Lineage: Eukaryota; Metazoa; Arthropoda; Insecta; Hymenoptera; Blasticotomidae. The record is from RNAcentral.